UUGGUAAUGUUACAGUUAUAAACGUUAACCAAAUUGUGUGUCAAGCAUUUGUAAGGAACAUAAGUACUGAUGAACAGAAUAAGAUUCUUGGCAGUAGAGAAUUUCAUCUGAUCCACUCGGUCAAUGUACUCGCCCGAGCUUACCACUUGAUGUAAAAAACAAGCAUGACUAUUUAGAGCUAGAAGCAGGUAUUCUACUCAGCCCUUCAGCUUCCA
Molecule: long non-coding RNA, 215 nt
Filed under: Helianthus annuus (common sunflower)
Lineage: Eukaryota; Viridiplantae; Streptophyta; Magnoliopsida; Asterales; Asteraceae
Description: hypothetical non coding rna
Source: RNAcentral